GUGCUCGCUUCAGCAGCACAUACACUAAAAUUGGAACGAUACAGAGAAGAUUAGCAUGGCCUCUGCACAAGGAUAACAUGCAAAUUUGUGAAAUGUUCCAUAUUAAA
This 107-nucleotide small nuclear RNA is filed under the name Jaculus jaculus (lesser Egyptian jerboa). Lineage: Eukaryota; Metazoa; Chordata; Mammalia; Rodentia; Dipodidae. The record is from RNAcentral.